AGACAUUCUGAUUUGGAAUAUUGGAUGAAAGCCCAGGAUGACUUCUUAUUUAUUUGAUAAGUUGAAAAAAACAAGAUAACUAUUCUUCUCAGGGAGUAUUCAAACUGUCUGAAAAUCUAUUUGUCCAAAUGAUUGAAGGUGUUGGGAUAAAAAUGGAUGUAUCUGAGGGAUGUCGUUUGAGACUGAGAGUCCACCUUGCCAGACAUGAUUUACUGUGGUUUCAUUGCCCAGUGGUCCUAUAAUCGCAAAGAUAAUCAUCUCGUUGUUCAAGUAUUCUGCAGAUAUAUUUGAAACUUGAAAGCUGAGAUUAGCUCUCUGCAUUGAUGGACUAUAACUUGUUAUUUGUGUUGUGUAAGCUAUCAUGCUGUCAGUUGAGUUAUGGAAAGCAACUAAUGCUUGCGAUCCAACCAUGCCUUGUCUCGUAGGGUUGAUAGCCCAUGCUACCCACCCCUUAGAAUCUUGUUUAGCUCUGUAUGCCAUUGAAACUUUUGUGCUUGAUGAAUUGUAGGUCCAGUGCAGGUUUGCUUCUAAAACAGGGAGCACUUUGCAAGUGGUGAAAGUUCUAUUAGCUGGGAAAGUGUAGUUUGAGCAGUUUUGAGCUGAGUUAACAAGAAAAAUCGAAGCAAGAAUGAAGAACAGCAGUUUUGAUGUUGAGCUUGACGCCAUGGGAACAAAUAUAUUCCUCUUUUUCCUGUGCCAAAAGUGAAACGAAAGGAUAAAAACACCGCAAAAGACUAUUGCGCGACUGUGGAGCUGUUCAACACCAAGCUGAGAAUGUAGAUUGUUACCUUUUUUUGCAAGUUGAGGAAUAAGAAUGUUGGUAGUUUAUAUUUUAUAAGAAAGGG
This 845-nucleotide unclassified non-coding RNA is filed under the name Hevea brasiliensis (rubber tree). The record is from RNAcentral. Lineage: Eukaryota; Viridiplantae; Streptophyta; Magnoliopsida; Malpighiales; Euphorbiaceae.